AAUACUUAAUUCUGCCUGAAUCACCCCUUCUUAGUGUUCAGAGAUCUCUCUUGGCGAAGAAUUAGAGGUGUAAGAUUAUAAAACAGUGUCGAGCCGGGUUCUCAGGCUUGACUAAGCAAACUCCAAAUGAGCAGAUCUCAAAAUAAUCCCCGAAUUCUCGACUUUGGGGCUGGAAACUGACAGAUGUUAUUACGAAUUCCAUUCGAUGCAGUGGAUAUUUAUGAACCAUCUACCGUCCCAUAAAUCCAAUAAACUGAUGAAGGAGCUCCGCUGCGCAGGGCUGUGGGAAGGGAAGAAAAGACUUUGGGGAUGUCAUGAAAUCCGUCUUCAAAUAUUUGAAGGAUUGACUCUGGAAAGGGGAAUCAGCCUGGACCUGUUUGGCCCCAGAGGGGAAAACCAGGAGCCUGGGGUUGGAGAGUCGUCAAAAUUCAGUGGCAAGACAAAAGUCAGGACAACUGGGGAUGGUCCAGGAUGCAGCGGAUGUCCAUGGCAUCUUUGAUGUCUGACCAAGCUCCAAGCACUCCACAAUAUCUGCUUCAGCCACCUGCAUGGCCUCUGGAACAAAUUGCUUUCAUCUGCCGGUUCUGCCAGGGGAAGUCCUUACAUGCUUGGCAUAGACAUCCCUGCUAAUUUACUGCUUGGAUUGUGGUCUAUCACUUUCCUUGAACCCAAUCUAUUAUUUAUUUAUUUAUUUUUGGAUAAAUUUAUUUAAUUAAUUUAUUUGGAAUAUUUUCCAUGGUUACAAGAUUCAUAUUCUUUCCUUCCCUUGCCCCUACCCCCUUCCCAUAGCCGAUGUACCCUUCCAAUGAGUUUUACAUGUCAUUGAUCCAGACCUAUUUCCAUAUUACUGAUAAUUUCACCAGGGUGAUCGUUUAGAGUCUGCAUCCCCAACCAUAUCCCUAUUGACCCACGUUAUCGAGCAGUUGUUUUUCUUCUGCUCCCACAGUUCUUCCUCUGAAUGUGGAGAGUGUUCUUUCUCAUAAGUCCCUCAGAACCUUGAACCUAAUUUAGCUUGUCUGUCAGAUGGUUUUGCCAGGACUCCAGCUUCUUGGAGCCACAGGUGAGAGUUGGCUGAAUGAAAGGAGGAGGGUGAGCAGCCCUGGAAAGGGCUUGGCAAGCUCCCACACCAAAGGGGCUAGUUCUCUC
RNAcentral lists this long non-coding RNA (1146 nucleotides) under Monodelphis domestica (gray short-tailed opossum). Its description in RNAcentral is "lncRNA (ENSMODG00000042349.1)". Lineage: Eukaryota; Metazoa; Chordata; Mammalia; Didelphimorphia; Didelphidae. The record is from RNAcentral.